Molecule: ribosomal RNA, 274 nt
Filed under: uncultured bacterium
Lineage: Bacteria
Description: partial 16S ribosomal RNA
Rfam family: Bacterial small subunit ribosomal RNA
Source: RNAcentral
AUACGGAGGGGACAAGCGUUAUUCGGAAUCACUGGGCGUAAAGGACGCGUAGGCGGGUUAUUAAGUCGGGUGUGAAAUCCAAUGGCUCAACCAUUGAACUGCAUUCGAAACUGAUAACCUAGAGUAUGGAAGGGGCAGGUGGAAUUAGUGGUGUAGGGGUAAAAUCCGUAGAUAUCACUAGGAAUACCGAAAGCGAAGGCGACCUGCUGGGACAUUACUGACGCUGAGGCGUGAAAGCGUGGGUAGCAAACGGGAUUAGAAACCCUAGUAGUCC